RNAcentral lists this ribosomal RNA (388 nucleotides) under uncultured Glomeromycotina. Its description in RNAcentral is "SSU rRNA". It matches the Rfam family "Eukaryotic small subunit ribosomal RNA", at positions 569 to 965 of the family's 1831-position model. Lineage: Eukaryota; Fungi; Glomeromycota. The record is from RNAcentral.
AGCAGCCGCAGUAAUUCCAGCUCCAAUAGCGUAUAUUAAAGUUGUUGCAGUUAAAAAGCUCGUAGUUGAAUUUCGGGAUCAGUACGCUGGUCAUGCCUUUGGUAUGCACUGGUGUCACUGGUUUCUCCCUUCUGAAGAGCCGUGAUGUCAUUAAUUUGGUGUCGCGGGGAAUCAGGACUGUUACUUUGAAAAAAUUGAGUGUUUAAAGCAGGCUCACGCUUGAAUACAUUAGCGUGGAAUAAUGAAAUAGGACGUUUGACCCUAUUUUGUGGUUUUUAGGAUCGACGUAAUGAUUAAUAGGGAUAGUUGGGCAUUAGUAUUCAAUUGUCAGAGGUGAAAUUCUUGGAUUUAUUGAAGACUAACUACUGCGAAAGCAUUUGCCAAGGAU